Molecule: ribosomal RNA, 401 nt
Filed under: uncultured bacterium
Lineage: Bacteria
Description: bacterial SSU rRNA
Rfam family: Bacterial small subunit ribosomal RNA
Source: RNAcentral
GGGCCCGCACAAGCGGUGGAGCAUGUGGUUUAAUUCGAUGAUACGCGAGGAACCUUACCAGGGCUUAAAUGCAGAGCGACAGAGGUGGAAACACCUCCUUCUUCGGACGGUCUGCAAGGUGCUGCAUGGUUGUCGUCAGCUCGUGCUGUGAAGUGUCGGGUUAAGUCCCAUAACGAGCGCAACCCCUAUUUCUAGUUGCCAGCGGUUCGGCCGGGGACUCUAGAGAAACUGCCAGCGUAAGCUGUGAGGAAGGUGGGGAUGACGUCAAAUCAUCACGGCCCUUACGUCCUGGGCCACACACGUGCUACAAUGGUAAGGACAGAGAGUUGCCAACCCGCGAGGGUGAGCUAAUCUUCAAACUCCAUCUCAGUUCGGAUCGAAGUCUGCAACUCGACUUCGUG